Molecule: transfer RNA, 75 nt
Filed under: Coriobacteriales bacterium
Lineage: Bacteria; Bacillati; Actinomycetota; Coriobacteriia; Coriobacteriales
Description: tRNA-Thr
Rfam family: tRNA
About the family: Transfer RNA (tRNA) molecules are approximately 80 nucleotides in length. Their secondary structure includes four short double-helical elements and three loops (D, anti-codon, and T loops).
Source: RNAcentral
GCUGGUGUGGCGCAACGGCAGCGCAACUGAUUUGUAAUCAGUAGGCUAGGGGUUCAAAUCCCCUCACCAGCUCCA